Molecule: ribosomal RNA, 253 nt
Filed under: uncultured bacterium
Lineage: Bacteria
Description: partial 16S ribosomal RNA
Rfam family: Bacterial small subunit ribosomal RNA
Source: RNAcentral
UACAGAGGGGGCAAGCGUUAUUCGGAAUUAUUGGGCGUAAAGGGCGCGUAGGCGGCUUUGCAAGUGACGGGUGAAAUCCCUCGGCUUAACCGAGGAACUGCCUGUCAAACUGCAUGGCUUGAGACCGGGAGAGGUGAGUGGAAUUCCCAGUGUAGCGGUGAAAUGCGUAGAUAUCUGGAGGAAUACCGGUGGCGAAGGCGGCAUCCUGGACCGGCAUUGACGCUGAGGAGCGAAAGCCAGGGGAGCAAACGGG